Molecule: ribosomal RNA, 892 nt
Filed under: uncultured bacterium
Lineage: Bacteria
Description: bacterial SSU rRNA
Rfam family: Bacterial small subunit ribosomal RNA
Source: RNAcentral
GUGCCAGCCGCCGCGGUAAUACGUAGGUGGCAAGCGUUGUCCGGAUUUAUUGGGCGUAAAGCGAGCGCAGGCGGUUUCUUAAGUCUGAUGUGAAAGCCUUCGGCUCAACCGAAGAAGUGCAUCGGAAACUGGGAAACUUGAGUGCAGAAGAGGACAGUGGAACUCCAUGUGUAGCGGUGAAAUGCGUAGAUAUAUGGAAGAACACCAGUGGCGAAGGCGGCUGUCUGGUCUGUAACUGACGCUGAGGCUCGAAAGCAUGGGUAGCAAACAGGAUUAGAUACCCUGGUAGUCCAUGCCGUAAACGAUGAGUGCUAGGUGUUGGAGGGUUUCCGCCCUUCAGUGCCGCAGCUAACGCAUUAAGCACUCCGACUGGGGAGUACGACCGCAAGGUUGAAACUCAAAGGAAUUGACGGGGGCCCGCACAAGCGGUGGAGCAUGUGGUUUAAUUCGAAGCAACGCGAAGAACCUUACCAGGUCUUGACAUCCUUUGACCACUCUAGAGAUAGAGCUUUCCCUUCGGGGACAAAGUGACAGGUGGUGCAUGGUUGUCGUCAGCUCGUGUCGUGAGAUGUUGGGUUAAGUCCCGCAACGAGCGCAACCCUUAUUACUAGUUGCCAGCAUUUAGUUGGGCACUCUAGUGAGACUGCCGGUGACAAACCGGAGGAAGGUGGGGACGACGUCAAAUCAUCAUGCCCCUUAUGACCUGGGCUACACACGUGCUACAAUGGAUGGUACAACGAGUUGCGAGACCGCGAGGUUUAGCUAAUCUCUUAAAACCAUUCUCAGUUCGGAUUGUAGGCUGCAACUCGCCUACAUGAAGCCGGAAUCGCUAGUAAUCGCGGAUCAGCAUGCCGCGGUGAAUACGUUCCCGGGCCUUGUACACACCGCCCGU